AUUGAACGCUGGCGGCAUGCUUUACACAUGCAAGUCGAACGGCAGCACGGGAGCUUGCUCCUGGUGGCGAGUGGCGAACGGGUGAGUAAUGCAUCGGAACGUGCCGAGUAAUGGGGGAUAACGCAGCGAAAGUUGUGCUAAUACCGCAUACGCUCUGAGGAGGAAAGCGGGGGACCUUUCGGGGCCUCGCGUUAUUCGAGCGGCCGAUGCCUGAUUAGCUAGUUGGUGAGGUAAAGGCUCACCAAGGCGACGAUCAGUAGCGGGUCUGAGAGGAUGAUCCGCCACACUGGGACUGAGACACGGCCCAGACUCCUACGGGAGGCAGCAGUGGGGAAUUUUGGACAAUGGGGGCAACCCUGAUCCAGCCAUGCCGCGUGUCUGAAGA
RNAcentral lists this ribosomal RNA (385 nucleotides) under uncultured bacterium. Its description in RNAcentral is "bacterial SSU rRNA". It matches the Rfam family "Bacterial small subunit ribosomal RNA", at positions 30 to 411 of the family's 1533-position model. The record is from RNAcentral.